UCAAAUUGCAUGAACUUUGGUGGUUGAUAACCCCUCGGCAUCCUUAAGGCGUCGAUCUUCUUUGAAUACGGCUUUGAGUACAACCCGGAGGUAUUUGAGCUCCCUUCGUACUGUGCCUUGAUGGUGUUGGUGAUCAUCUCUUGCAGCUGCUGGAUAGAAAGAGAUCCCAUGAGUGCCGCUGCUUGGUCUGGCUCCGGCUUCGCAUCGUUUUUCUCCACCUGAGGCUCAUCUUCUGGGUUAGGGUUCUCGUCGUCCUGUGGCUCCAGUCGGCUGACGAGUGCAGCGAUUUGCAAGUCUUUUU
Molecule: long non-coding RNA, 301 nt
Filed under: Malus domestica (apple)
Lineage: Eukaryota; Viridiplantae; Streptophyta; Magnoliopsida; Rosales; Rosaceae
Description: long non-coding RNA (MDOM_LNC006741)
Source: RNAcentral